ACGGCUCAGUAACACGUGGACAACUUACCCAAAAGUCCGGGAUAACCCCGGGAAACUGGGGAUAAUACCGGAUAGAUCAUCUGUGCUGGAAGGCUGGGUGGUUGAAACUUCCGGGGCUUUUGGAUGGGUCUGCGGCUGAUUAGGUUGUUGCCGGUGUAACGUACCGUCAAGCCUGUAAUCAGUACGGGUUGUGGGAGCAAGAGCCCGGAGAUGGAUUCUGAGACACGAAUCCAGGCCCUACGGGGCGCAGCAGGCGCGAAAACUCUACAAUGCAGGCAACUGCGAUAGGGGAACAUCGAGUGAUCCUCAUAUUGGGGGUCUGUCCACCCGUCUAAAAAACGGGUGUUAGCAAGGGCCGGGCAAGACCGGUGCCAGCCGCCGCGGUAAUACCGGCGGCUCGAGUGGUGGCCGAUAUUAUUGAGUCUAAAGGGUCCGUAGCCGGCUUUGCAAGUCUCUCGGGAAAUCCAGCGGCUUAACCGUUGGUCGUCCGGGGGGUACUACAUUGCUUGGGACUGGGAGAGGUAGGAGGUACUCAGGGGGUAGGAGUGAAAUCCUGUAAUCCUUUGGGGACCACCGGUGGCGAAGGCGUCCUACCAGAACAGGUCCGACGGUGAGGGACGAAAGCUAGGGGCACGAACCGGAUUAGAUACCCGGGUAGUCCUAGCCGUAAACGAUGCUCGCUAGGUGUCACAACAGUCGUGAACUAUUGUGGUGCCGUAGGGAAGCCGUGAAGCGAGCCACUUGGGAAGUACGACCGCAAGGUUGAAACUUAAAGGAAUUGGCGGGGGAGCAC
Molecule: ribosomal RNA, 793 nt
Filed under: uncultured archaeon
Lineage: Archaea
Description: bacterial SSU rRNA
Rfam family: Archaeal small subunit ribosomal RNA
Source: RNAcentral